This 72-nucleotide transfer RNA is filed under the name Candidatus Iainarchaeum sp. RNAcentral's name for it is "tRNA-Thr". It matches the Rfam family "tRNA". Rfam says of the family: Transfer RNA (tRNA) molecules are approximately 80 nucleotides in length. Their secondary structure includes four short double-helical elements and three loops (D, anti-codon, and T loops). Further hydrogen bonds mediate the characteristic L-shaped molecular structure. tRNAs have two regions of fundamental functional importance: the anti-codon, which is responsible for specific mRNA codon recognition, and the 3' end, to which the tRNAs corresponding amino acid is attached (by aminoacyl-tRNA synthetases). tRNAs cope with the degeneracy of the genetic code in two manners: having more than one tRNA (with a specific anti-codon) for a particular amino acid; and 'wobble' base-pairing, i.e. permitting non-standard base-pairing at the 3rd anti-codon position. The record is from RNAcentral. Lineage: Archaea; Nanobdellati; Candidatus Iainarchaeota; Candidatus Iainarchaeia; Candidatus Iainarchaeales; Candidatus Iainarchaeaceae.
GCCUCUAUAGCUCAGCGGUAGAGCACCGGUUUUGUAAACCGGGGGUCGGGGGUCCAAAUCCCUCUAGAGGCU